Molecule: ribosomal RNA, 1227 nt
Filed under: Bacillus subtilis
Lineage: Bacteria; Bacillati; Bacillota; Bacilli; Caryophanales; Bacillaceae
Description: bacterial SSU rRNA
Rfam family: Bacterial small subunit ribosomal RNA
Source: RNAcentral
AACACGUGGGUAACCUGCCUGUAAGACUGGGAUAACUCCGGGAAACCGGGGCUAAUACCGGAUGGUUGUUUGAACCGCAUGGUUCAAACAUAAAAGGUGGCUUCGGCUACCACUUACAGAUGGACCCGCGGCGCAUUAGCUAGUUGGUGAGGUAACGGCUCACCAAGGCGACGAUGCGUAGCCGACCUGAGAGGGUGAUCGGCCACACUGGGACUGAGACACGGCCCAGACUCCUACGGGAGGCAGCAGUAGGGAAUCUUCCGCAAUGGACGAAGUCUGACGGAGCAACGCCGCGUGAGUGAUGAAGGUUUUCGGAUCGUAAAGCUCUGUUGUUAGGGAAGAACAAGUACCGUUCGAAUAGGGCGGUACCUUGACGGUACCUAACCAGAAAGCCACGGCUAACUACGUGCCAGCAGCCGCGGUAAUACGUAGGUGGCAAGCGUUGUCCGGAAUUAUUGGGCGUAAAGGGCUCGCAGGCGGUUUCUUAAGUCUGAUGUGAAAGCCCCCGGCUCAACCGGGGAGGGUCAUUGGAAACUGGGGAACUUGAGUGCAGAAGAGGAGAGUGGAAUUCCACGUGUAGCGGUGAAAUGCGUAGAGAUGUGGAGGAACACCAGUGGCGAAGGCGACUCUCUGGUCUGUAACUGACGCUGAGGAGCGAAAGCGUGGGGAGCGAACAGGAUUAGAUACCCUGGUAGUCACGCCGUAAACGAUGAGUGCUAAGUGUUAGGGGGUUUCCGCCCCUUAGUGCUGCAGCUAACGCAUUAAGCACUCCGCCUGGGGAGUACGGUCGCAAGACUGAAACUCAAAGGAAUUGACGGGGGCCCGCACAAGCGGUGGAGCAUGUGGUUUAAUUCGAAGCAACGCGAAGAACCUUACCAGGUCUUGACAUCCUCUGACAAUCCUAGAGAUAGGACGUCCCCUUCGGGGGCAGAGUGACAGGUGGUGCAUGGUUGUCGUCAGCUCGUGUCGUGAGAUGUUGGGUUAAGUCCCGCAACGAGCGCAACCCUUGAUCUUAGUUGCCAGCAUUCAGUUGGGCACUCUAAGGUGACUGCCGGUGACAAACCGGAGGAAGGUGGGGAUGACGUCAAAUCAUCAUGCCCCUUAUGACCUGGGCUACACACGUGCUACAAUGGACAGAACAAAGGGCAGCGAAACCGCGAGGUUAAGCCAAUCCCACAAAUCUGUUCUCAGUUCGGAUCGCAGUCUGCAACUCGACUGCGUGAAGCU